This is a non-coding RNA of Cinara cedri, 202 nucleotides long. Lineage: Eukaryota; Metazoa; Arthropoda; Insecta; Hemiptera; Aphididae. The record is from the annotation of a GenBank genome assembly.
UAUUAAUAUCACCCGAACUCGAAACCUAUAGAUAUGUUGCUGCGGGGGAAAAAAAUCUCAAAAACCCCUCGUAAUAAAUUAAAAAAAAAAAAAACUAAAUAAUAUUGUAUUACCGGGCCGGCACGGCGACUUGAAACCUGCAUUUUUGACACGUCUUCGUACCUACCCUGCAAAAAAAACGUCUUAAAUUAAAUUAAAUUAC